This 8386-nucleotide long non-coding RNA is filed under the name Spirodela polyrhiza (greater duckweed). Its description in RNAcentral is "long non-coding RNA (SPOL_LNC000001)". Lineage: Eukaryota; Viridiplantae; Streptophyta; Magnoliopsida; Alismatales; Araceae. The record is from RNAcentral.
UGCCGUCCACCACAAGGUUAUGCCCGUUGACGUAUCUGGACUCGUCGCUGGCCAGGUAGAGCACCGCCUCAGCGAUGUCCUGCGCCUUCAACGCCGUGGCUCUCAGGACGGAAAUCUUCUCCGUGACGUCUUCCACUGCUCUGGUGUCCAUCCCGAGGCUGCCGCAAGUCAAGGACGACGCCACAAAAUAUGGGGAGACGCAGUUCACCCGCACGCCGGAGCGGCCAAGCUCCACGGCGGCAUCCCUCGUCAGCCCCACCACGGCGUGCUUCAACGCCGCGUAGGGGGACAUCGCCAGGGCGGCCAUGACGGAGGUGAUGCUGGCCGUGCAUUGAUGCUGGCCCGCCCGGCGCCGGCCAUGACUCGCCCCGCGUGCUUGAUACCCAGGAAAACGCCGAUCACGUUCACAACCAUCACUUACUCGAAGUCCGAUCUGUCUACGUCGAGGAGGGGCAGGUCCUUGGAGUUGAUCCCGGCGUUGUUGAACAUGACGUCUAGCCGACCAUGAGAGCUCAGGGCGGUCUCCACGGCGGCCUGGAUAUCGGCCUCGGCGGAGACGUCGCAGUGGACGUAGGAGGCCACGCCGCCGUUGCCGACGAUUUCCCUGCAUACCUCCUCGUCCUUCUCGUCCUGGAUAUCGGCGACGACGACCUUGGCACCGUGCCGGGCAAAAAGUCUGGCGGUGCUCUCGCCGAUGCCGUUGGCGCCGCCGGUAAUCAUGGCCACCUUCCCCCUCCAGUCUGCAACCAAAACGACGGCGGUGACGCAAAAUCGUCCUUAAAUCAAACGAAAGAUCGAGGACAAAGGCAGAAUGUGAAUCAUUGCACGCCUCGUACCGCCUCGCCAGGAAAGACAGCACCGGGGAGCUCUUCAUGACGACGAUGCGAUCUUCCGGCGUCGGGGUCAACGAACUCAAGACAAAGAAGAGGUAGAGGCUGCCAUCGUGAUUUGGGGCUGUGCUGACCUUCCAUUUAUAAAACAGAAGUUCUUGGGUAAGUUAUUUCGUUCUUUCAUUUCUGGAAGCGAGACACCGAAGAGUCCUGCUGGGUGAAAGUUCCCGACUGCUCGAAUGAAAGUCAAAGCUCGCUUCGGCGAAUCCGCAGGGUCCCAAAUGAAUUGGCUUAUUCGAAAAAAGCCUUGUUCUUUGGAAGAUCUAUCUCGUGUCUGGUACUGCAUGGUUCCACUCUCCAAGAACUCCGAAUCCUUCUGUUGAAGCUCAUUCUCUUUAUGAAAAAUGAUCCGGUUAGAAUUCACAGGGUCAACCCUGCCUCAGUUCCAGAUCCUGGUUCGUCGGACUGGGUUCUAGCCAUUCGAUUCUUCUCGUCGAGUAAUGUCUAGCUAGGGUAGAAGCUUCGGCGGAGUCAUAUGAAAGGACUAGGAAUUAGGGCGAGAUCUCGACCUAACUCUCACGCCACGGUCAAAGGCAGGCAAUAUCACUUACCUCCAUGCUAUGCCGAGGAAAGAAUGAAAGCGCGAUUGGAUCGCGGAAGGUCCACAUAAAAAAUGAUGGUGGGUGUGGUAGAGAGUAGCUUCUCCCUUCUCCACAUGCCUGUCCUGUGCGAGGCUGCUCACCAUUUGGAGUAGCGAUGGAGGCCCCCGACAAGCUGAACAGACAGCGACAUCUUACCAACUUCUCAACACAUUUGGUACAUAAGAACAUAAUAGAUAAGUUCGUUUUCCGGGUAGAGUGAAUGGGCUUCUAUUUAAUUGGAGAUGAAAGUUGACUACUAGGCACCUUGUGAGGGGGACAAAUCAUCGGAGACAGUAGUACGUGAUGUAGGUUACUAUAUUAAGGAGACAAGAUCAAGCUGAAGCUAAUGUUAAUUGUUUAUUUAGCAUAUGAAUCUAUCAUGCUAAAUUUUAAGCGUAUUUAAAUGAAAAAUUAGUUUUAUACCCUAACAUAAGCUAUGUAUAUUAAGAUAUGUCACUUUAUCCACUAAUUUAUACCGCAACAUAUAAAUUUGAUACGUUAAGAUCCUCUAAAAGGUAUUCCACAUUACGUAUUGACACAAUGUAAUUAUAUUUAUUGAAAUAUUUUACUUAAUUUGCCAAAUAUUUUCACACCCUUAUAAAUAUACCAUGUAUAGAGUAAUUUUAUAAUGUAACUUCUUUUGUACUGAAAUAUUAACUUUAACAUACUUAAUGUUGUAAAACACGAAUUUUCUUACGGGGAACAUAUUAUCUUUGACAUAUCUUGUUAUUUCAUAGUGGAAACAUCAUCUAUAUUGAAAUACCAACCUUAGUGGAUUACACUAUUUUAGUUGAUAAUUUCUCACAUAAACAUGAACAUUAAUAUAUAACAUAACUUACUAUAUAAUGACAUGUUAAAAUUAAUAUGCUUUACUGUUUCGCAACAUAAUCUUAAUAUAAUUAAAUAUCUAUUGUUUCUAAAGAAGGUUAGAAAUAAUAUUAAAAGAGGAGGUGAUUUAGACUUUUCCUGAUCUAUAAGAUUUUUCUAAUCUUUUCAUAUCUGCUCACAGAGAAUUUCUAGUUGUUCAGUCUACUUGACCUACUUCACUCUCUAAAGACCAUCUAUUUAGGUUUUAUUAAUUCCCUAGUGAUAUUACAUUGCAUCUAAAAGCUUCAUGUAGUUUUCACUAUAUUCAAUAGCUCUAUCCAACUUAAAAUUUUCUCUGCAAAAACUUCUUUAAGAUUCAUGAAUUUGUGUCAACCAACCUAUAUUAUCAACACAUUAAUAUGUUUUUAAAUUGAUGGCUCUAAAUCCACUUAAGUAGAGCAAGUUACUGCUCAACUCAACUAAACUGUUAAUAGAAAUAUUUAAACCACCUAAUGUGUAUGAGCUACUGCUAUAAAUCUGGUACUAAAACUACUACUAAUAAUUUGAGACAUUUUCAUCACUAGCCUGCUCAUUACAAUUGUGGUAAAAAUAAAGAACUUAAAAUCAAGUUUUGUAGUCGUCUCAUGAUCUAAACAUUGUGUAAAUUUAAUACUUGAUCACUCAAAUAGUUUUUAUAACUAGAUUCUUGGCACAUAUAUGGGCAUGCAUGCAAUCAUUAUAAUUAUUUUGAAAAAUGGAGAUGAUGCAAAAAAAUAGUGUCUGAAAACUGAAAGAAUUUUUUUUAAUGUUAAAUUUAUAAUAUUAAGAUAUCUUUCUUGAUAAGCAUUUCAAGACCCUAGUAUGACAACUAGCAAUUCAAUUUCUAACUAUAUCUAGUCAUUACGUGUGAAUACUGAAGUAUAAAUAACAAACCUCAUAAGAAAGUUACUUCACACUAGACUUGAGGAUGAAGGGAGGGAGCGAUACAAUGACCUAUCUACACUUAUAAUGAGCUACAUUGAAACAUAUUCCAGAGCUCCCAAAGUAAUCAAAGAAGGAUUCAUCUUGAAGAACUAUAGAUGGAUUCCACCUUGAUAAUAAUUGGAAAAAUCCAAUUUACGUGAAAACAUAGUGUAGUUUAAUUACUUACAUUAUCUAACAUAAUACCACAUCAAGUGGUUGUGCAUUGGGUUAAACUAUGUACUGUAUUUGCUAUCAAGUUUGGAAGUAUCUUGACACGUCUAGUCAACCAAAGUCAAUAGGUUAGAUGGAGGAAUAAUAAUGUUGUCAAAAAUUAUUUAUUAGGAUGAAGGCAUUAAGCUGUGUUGGAAUGAUAGUGUCAUGAAAGACUAUUUAGUCAACUCAAUGUCAGGUGAACUAUUCAUAAGUGGGUCCUAGCUUCAACUUGUGUUCCUCAACCACUCAGUCAUCUAUUCUAGUGACAAUGUUAUCCCUGAGUCCCUUUUGUUUCCAUAUUAGAAUAUUUUGUUCAUGUAGUAUUUUGUGUGAACCAUAUAUAAGUCCACUCAUUUGCAUAGCUGGUGGUUAGUGAGGAGGGAUUACCCACUUGAUUAGCAUCUUAUGACUUAUUGAUUGUGGAGCACCCUAAUCUUUGAUAUUUAUUAUAAAUCUUACAUGAUUACACUCGAUCUUACCCUAGCCAACCUUCUUAAGUUCUUAGAUACAUUGUUAGAGUCUAGGUCUUGGUCACUUAUCUAAGGUAACAUAGUUCAUCAUCCCAUCCUUCAUCGUCCAAGAUCGUCACGGGAUUGUGAAACACGAUGCCCAGCUGUCUGCGAGACAUUAGAGCGGUGUCCACGAUAGCCUGGACGUUGGCCUCGGAGGAGACAUUGUAGUAACAUAGGAGGCCACGCCACCGUUGCAGACGGUUUCAUUGCAGACCUCCCUGACCCUUCUCGUCCUGGAUGUCGGCGACGACAACCUUAGCACCGCGCCUGGUGAACAGACCGGCAGUGCUCUCAUCGAUGCCGUUGGCGCCGCCGGUGACGAUUGUCAUAUUUUCCUCCAGCCUGCAACCAAGAUGACGGCGGCGAGGCUAAAUGGCCCGCAAAAUAAUGAGAGAAGGUAAGUUAUCACAAUCUGGUACCACCUCGCCAGGGGAGAGCACGGGGAAGCUCUCCAUGGCGGCGAUGCGAUCGUCCGGCGUCGGCGAAUUCUAGAGCAAAGCGAGGUGGAGACUGCCUGCAGUGAGCUGACCCGCAGCGCUGGUCCUUGAUUUUUAAAACGAACUUCUUGAAUGAAAUGUUCUAUCCUACGGCUGAUGAAGAAUAUUGUAGAGAACAAUUAAAUUAUCCACAACGACUUUCUUCCAGAAGCUAGAUUCUCGGCAGUAAUUCGGUGAAUGUGAAUUCGUUGACUUUCAAGCGGCACAUGUGGCUCCUUCCGGGUGCCCAACCAUUUCUUGUAAAGUACGACCUCUGCAUUUGACCUUAUCUCACAAAUCACCCACUAUGGGUGCUAUAAGGGGCCUGAAUGUUUUUCCCUUCUCCUAAGGUCACCUCUCUCUCUCUCUCUCUCUCUCUCAUUCCCGCCGCCACCACUCAUCCCCCCUCCUCAUCUUUGGGGCAUUCGGGUUUGAGGGUGACUUCUAGGGAUUUAGCUUAGAUUUUUUUUCUCUACUUCUGGGUCCAAACAUCUUAACACAUAAAACCAAAGUAAUUUAUGAGAAUUUAGAGGUCUAAUAAUUCAGAAGAAUUUAAAGGUGAACAUAUUGUUCGAUUGUGUAUAAAACACCUCGUUUUUUAAAAAUUUUCCCGGAUAAAUCCUUCAAUUAUAGAUUGUUAUCGUCCAAGAUGAAAGUGGUGAGAGAGGGGAAACAAUAGCAUAAAAGGUGAGCGGUAGGGGAGAGAGAGAGAGAGAGAGAGAGAGAGAGAGAGAGAGAGAGAGAAUAANNNNNNNNNNNNNNNNNNNNNNNNNNNNNNNNNNNNNNNNNNNNNNNNNNNNNNNNNNNNNNNNNNNNNNNNNNNNNNNNNNNNNNNNNNNNNNNNNNNNNNNNNNNNNNNNNNNNNNNNNNNNNNNNNNNNNNNNNNNNNNNNNNNNNNNNNNNNNNNNNNAGGAGAGAGAGAGAGAGAGAGAGAGAGAGAGAGAGAGAGAGAUAAAUGAGGUUAUACGUCACCAUGAAUAGCAGCUCGAAGUAAAAUAAUAUCAUCCUUCACAAGGUACAGUACUAGAUGACUUUAUAUAACGCAAAGGGAAGUGGGAUAUAAGUUCAAUUGGAUACAAUGGGGGAAGGACAGACACAAUACUCGACAGAAAGGGAAGGUAAACUCAAACUCAGUUGAAGCUCCUGAGCAGUUCCUUACUCUGACAGAUUUUCUCCUCCUUCUAUCGGAUACCUUAAAUAGCCACGCGUGAAGUCAGUUUUCAAUCGUGGCCACCAAGUCUCCAUGAUUUUAAGGUAUCGUGGGAACAUGAGAGCGUGGCUGGAAGAUAGUUUGUUUGACAUUUUUUACUUAAAGAUCGGAGGUAUGUUAGAGCUCUAUAGAAAUCGUACGAAUAGAGAAAUGUUCUUAUAUGAAGGGAAUAACUUGGACAAUGUCCAGCGGCGGACCCGGCGUGGUUAACGCGCCGUCGACCACCAGGCUCUACUUGCUGAGAGACCUCGACUCGUCGCUCGCCAAGAAGAUAGCUGGCUUCGCCAUGUUCGCCUGCGUCAACCUAGUGGGAUCACGGAGUCGAUGAUCUUCUCCAAGUUCUUUCGAGGGAGUGACGCCUGACUGGUCAUCAUUGGGGUCGGUAUGGUUGUUCCCAGCGACACGCAGUUGACCCCAUUCCUGUGCUGUAAGGGUGACUUGGUCAUUUCUUCUUCUGUAGGGCUCAUGUGGGCCAUAUUUCUCCUUUGGGCUUUCACUUAUGACUAUUUUCUGUCUAAAAAACAGUUCAGCCCCUUUUAUAUAAUCUAUAUCUAAAGGGAGCUCGAGGAGAGAGAAAGGUGAGAGGAAAUAGACAAAUCUAUAGCACGGGAAAUCCUAUCCUUUAUGGCCGCUGCAACAGGAGUUUCGACUCCAUCUCUUUCUCUCUCCCCCACUGGUGGUUGGUAUUACUGUCUCUUUAACUCUGUCCCUGUUAUACUCUAUUCCUUAGACAUUAGAUAUUUCUCCUUCUUUGUUAAUUUACUAGUCGUGAGGUGUGUUCAUCCUCUAGACCACAGUAAUCACAAUCCUGUUUUAUUAUAGCCCAUUCUACAUUCUCGCUAUUAUUUAUACGGUAGAAGACCUGCUGCACUUGUGCGCUCUAUUUUUCUCUAUGUUGUCAUACCAUUUCUAAGCCCAUUAAGAUCAUAUUCCAUGUUUAAUUUCCUAAAAUGUGUCCCAUGAGUGCCGCCAUCCCUUUCUCUAUCCGGCCUGCCUGUACUUGCACCAUCGCCCCCUUGCCUUCCUUUCCCCCACAUGACCCACAGCAUCACGAACCGGUGGUCUGAACGUGUCAAGAUUAGCCCAUACUCCCCACAUUUGUCCAGGUGCAAUCCCGCUUGAGCCUUUGGACCAAAUCGACCUAUCGGUGGUCCAAGUUGGCCAUACCAACUGCCCCAUGUGGGUUGAGCCAACCCACUAAAUGACCAGGGCAAUGGUAAACAUUCAACGUCAACAACUAGAGUCAUUCGUCCAACUUCUUUCUCAGCUUGUAAUCUCAUAUUUCACGCGUCAUAUGAUUCUACUUGUCUAAUGUAUUCUUCUUGUGAUUGUCACACAUUCAACAUAGGGUAGUUAGUUAACAUCGGGUGAUCAUAUCCCAUGAUCCAUGUUGCCUUUAGAACACCUUAUAGCCUUCUUUGUAAUUUCCGUUUUCAAUUCGUGGAUGAUUUUUAAACUUCUUCUUGACUUACGAAUUUUUACUGCUUGAGUUUCCAAUACCAUUUGUAAUUUUUUUAACCGUUGGUUAGAUCUCUCCCAUCUCAUCGUCAUCAUCUACAUCACAUAGCCUUGCCGAGCCACUUGCGCCACGAGUGAUCAAGAUGACCUUUCCAUCUAGCCUGCCAUUUCAACGAGACAUGGGGCGAGCUCAAAAAGGAACUCCGCGAGUGAACGGCACCAAACAAGACUGGGGAGUCGGCCAGCACCGUUUGAUGAUUCUUCGCCGUGAACAUAUUUUUGAGGGAGAGAGAGAGAAAGAAAACUAAGACAGAGCUUCCUACGCCGCCCCACCUUCCUCCUCCAAGGAGUCGAAGGAAGAUCGUCAUCCUCGAUCGCCCAACGAUUAAUAACCAAGACGAGGACUCGUAAUAACUGGAAGAAGGGGACGAGGACUUACUGGUUUCCGGUAACCGAGAGGGCGAUCAUUCGUACGUGAAGAGGAGAUCGCCGGGCCUCUUGCCGGCGACGUUGUAGCCCGAGAGAGCCCCAUGUCGGCCAUGGGCAUAACUGGAGGAUGUCGGAGGCGACGCCCAUGGCGCCGCCAAGCGUCCCCGGUGACAGCGGGGUACGUUCCAUCCAAGCUGGAAAAGACCAUGGAAGUUAAGACGACGGCGAGGACGUCGCCAGCAGGCGUCCGGCGUCGGCCGUGGGGAAGCCUGGAGGAGAUCCACACUAUAAUAGUUUCCGGGCGCUCUCGUGAGAAAGACUUGGGGUGCCGAAAAACGUCGGCUUAAAUGUUUACUCAAGAAAGUAUAAACUCAUGGUCUUAGUUAAAAAUUCAUUUUAUUGUAAUCAUUCUUCACGGAGAUUCGAUGGGCGGAUCGGGAAGCCCAAGCUCCAUCUACCCCCCAGCUUCGGGAUCGGCCACGUACAGAAAACAAAGAGACGGGAAGAAUGGCAGCAGCGACGAGAUACGAGAGGAAACAGGAGGAAGAACGGCCACAUAGAGAAGGGAAGGGAAGGGAAGAUGGAUCAGGAGGAGGAAGCGGCUAAGGCGUGUGCCUCCAAGUAAGGAUUGGUGAUCGUGUAGCCGCCGUCCACCACAAGGUUAUGCCCGUUGACGUAUCUGGACUCGUCGCUGGCCAGGUAGAGCACCGCCUCAGCGAUGUCCUGCGCCUUCAACGCCGCGGCUCUCAGGGCGGAAGCCUUCUCCGAGACGUCUUCAGUGGCUCUGGUGUCCAACCCGAACGCCUCGGAGGCCAAGGACGAUGCCAAAAGAUGAGGGGAGACGCAG